GAUGAACGCUAGCGGCAGGCUUAAUACAUGCAAGUCGAGGGGUAGCAAGAUUGUAGCAAUACAAUUGUUGACGACCGGCAAACGGGUGCGGAACACGUACACAACCUUCCUACAAGUGGGGAAUAGCCCAGAGAAAUUUGGAUUAAUACCCCGUAACAUAGCGAUGUGGCAUCACAUUGCUAUUAUAGCUUCGGCGCUUGUUGAUGGGUGUGCGGCUGAUUAGAUAGUUGGCGGGGUAACGGCCCACCAAGUCUACGAUCAGUAGCUGAUGGGAGAGCAUGAUCAGCCACACGGGCACUGAGACACGGGCCCGACUCCUACGGGAGGCAGCAGUAAGGAAUAUUGGACAAUGGACGCAAGUCUGAUCCAGCCAUGCCGCGUGAAGGAUUAAGGUCCUCUGGAUUGUAAACUUCUUUUAUAAGGGACGAAAAAAGGUCUUUCUAGAUCGUCUGACGGUACCUUAUGAAUAAGCACCGGCUAACUCCGUGCCAGCAGCCGCAGUAA
RNAcentral lists this ribosomal RNA (504 nucleotides) under uncultured bacterium. RNAcentral describes it as "partial 16S ribosomal RNA". It matches the Rfam family "Bacterial small subunit ribosomal RNA", at positions 28 to 523 of the family's 1533-position model. The record is from RNAcentral.